CAGAAGUUAUAUAUUAAUAAUAAUUUUGGGUAUUAUAGAUAAGGGGAACCUUCUUUCUGA
RNAcentral lists this transfer RNA (60 nucleotides) under Caprella mutica. Its description in RNAcentral is "tRNA-Pro". The record is from RNAcentral. Lineage: Eukaryota; Metazoa; Arthropoda; Malacostraca; Amphipoda; Caprellidae.